Cercocebus atys (sooty mangabey) is the source of this 107-nucleotide small nuclear RNA. The record is from Ensembl. Lineage: Eukaryota; Metazoa; Chordata; Mammalia; Primates; Cercopithecidae.
GUGCUUGCUUCAGCAGCACCUAUACUAAAAUUGGAACAAUACAGAGAAGUUUAGCACAGCCCCUGUGCAAGGAUGACACGCACAUUCGUAAAACGUUUCAUAUAUUU